GAUGAACGCUGGCGGCGUGCCUAAUACAUGCAAGUCGAGCGAACAGACAAGGAGCUUGCUCCUCUGACGUUAGCGGCGGACGGGUGAGUAACACGUGGAUAACCUACCUAUAAGACUGGGAUAACUUCGGGAAACCGGAGCUAAUACCGGAUAAUAUAUUGAACCGCAUGGUUCAAUAGUGAAAGACGGUUUUGCUGUCACUUAUAGAUGGAUCCGCGCCGCAUUAGCUAGUUGGUAAGGUAACGGCUUACCAAGGCAACGAUGCGUAGCCGACCUGAGAGGGUGAUCGGCCACACUGGAACUGAGACACGGUCCAGACUCCUACGGGAGGCAGCAGUAGGGAAUCUUCCGCAAUGGGCGAAAGCCUGACGGAGCAACGCCGCGUGAGUGAUGAAGGUCUUCGGAUCGUAAAACUCUGUUAUUAGGGAAGAACAAAUGUGUAAGUAACUAUGCACGUCUUGACGGUGCCUAAUCAGAAAGCCACGGCUAACUACGUG
RNAcentral lists this ribosomal RNA (497 nucleotides) under uncultured bacterium. Its description in RNAcentral is "partial 16S ribosomal RNA". It matches the Rfam family "Bacterial small subunit ribosomal RNA", at positions 28 to 507 of the family's 1533-position model. The record is from RNAcentral.